This 803-nucleotide ribosomal RNA is filed under the name uncultured Pelagibacteraceae bacterium. RNAcentral describes it as "bacterial SSU rRNA". It matches the Rfam family "Bacterial small subunit ribosomal RNA", at positions 33 to 884 of the family's 1533-position model. The record is from RNAcentral. Lineage: Bacteria; Pseudomonadati; Pseudomonadota; Alphaproteobacteria; Candidatus Pelagibacterales; Candidatus Pelagibacteraceae.
ACGCUGGCGGCACGCCUAACACAUGCAAGUCGAACGAAGUAGCAAUACUUAGUGGCAGACGGGUGAGUAACAUGUAGGUAUCUGCCCUUUGGCCUGGAAUAACACGAGGAAACUUGUGCUAAUACCGGAUAAGUCUUUACGGAGAAAGCUUUAUGCACCAUUGGAUGAGCCUGCACUUGAUUAGUUUGUUGGUGGGGUAAUGGCCUACCAAGACUGUGAUCAAUAGCUGAUUUGAGAGGAUGAUCAGCCACAUUGGGACUGAGACACGGCCCAAACUCCUACGGGAGGCAGCAGUGGGGAAUCUUGCACAAUGGAGGAAACUCUGAUGCAGCGAUGCCGCGUGAGUGAAGAAGGCCUUUGGGUUGUAAAGCUCUUUCGUCGGGGAAGAAAAUGACUGUACCCGAAUAAGAAGGUCCGGCUAACUUCGUGCCAGCAGCCGCGGUAAUACGAAGGGACCUAGCGUAGUUCGGAAUUACUGGGCUUAAAGAGUUCGUAGGUGGUUGAAAAAGUUGGUGGUGAAAUCCCAGAGCUUAACUCUGGAACUGCCAUCAAAACUUUUCAGCUAGAGUUUGAUAGAGGAAAGCAGAAUUUCUAGUGUAGAGGUGAAAUUCGUAGAUAUUAGAAAGAAUACCAAUUGCGAAGGCAGCUUUCUGGAUCAUUACUGACACUGAGGAACGAAAGCAUGGGUAGCGAAGAGGAUUAGAUACCCUCGUAGUCCAUGCCGUAAACGAUGUGUGUUAGACGUUGGAAAUUUAUUUUCAGUGUCGCAGCGAAAGCGAUAAACACACCGCCUGGGGAGUACG